RNAcentral lists this transfer RNA (90 nucleotides) under Moraxellaceae bacterium. RNAcentral's name for it is "tRNA-Ser". It matches the Rfam family "tRNA". From Rfam's summary of the family: Transfer RNA (tRNA) molecules are approximately 80 nucleotides in length. Their secondary structure includes four short double-helical elements and three loops (D, anti-codon, and T loops). Further hydrogen bonds mediate the characteristic L-shaped molecular structure. tRNAs have two regions of fundamental functional importance: the anti-codon, which is responsible for specific mRNA codon recognition, and the 3' end, to which the tRNAs corresponding amino acid is attached (by aminoacyl-tRNA synthetases). tRNAs cope with the degeneracy of the genetic code in two manners: having more than one tRNA (with a specific anti-codon) for a particular amino acid; and 'wobble' base-pairing, i.e. permitting non-standard base-pairing at the 3rd anti-codon position. The record is from RNAcentral. Lineage: Bacteria; Pseudomonadati; Pseudomonadota; Gammaproteobacteria; Moraxellales; Moraxellaceae.
GGAGGGGUGGCAGAGCGGUUGAAUGCACCGGUCUUGAAAACCGGCGUGGGUUCGCGCCCACCGAGAGUUCGAAUCUCUCCUCCUCCGCCA